This is a long non-coding RNA of Leopardus geoffroyi (Geoffroy's cat), 444 nucleotides long. RefSeq lists it as uncharacterized. The record is from RefSeq and is a predicted model, not a curated record. The transcript is spliced from 2 exons. NCBI's taxonomy places the organism in Eukaryota, Metazoa, Chordata, Mammalia, Carnivora, Felidae.
UGUAAAGUGUUUUUUUUUUUGUUCCCAGAGUCAGAGAAGCCUACUCUUUUAACUCCUGGAAUUCUGUUAGUUUCAAGGAUGAGAAGGUCAAGGUUGGCAAUGUGGAAAUGAAGUCAAAGGUGUGGUGCUCCAGCCAUGCUGUUAAAAUGUGGAUUCCUUGGAAUUUUAAGGUAAGAGCCUAAUGUCUCCCUAAUUGACUUGCUUCCCAGUAUGAAAAGUAUGAUGGCUUGGUAUAUACAUGUAAAUGUUAUGAAUCAUUGUCAUUUAUGGAGCUGUUGAAAGAAACAGAAAACAAUGAAUUUAUUUAUCUUAUGUUUUUUGCCAGUGUUCAUUGGUUGAAUGGUGGAAGAGUUAUACAAAGAUUUACGGUACUUUGAACUCUGAGGCUUUCUUUAAAAAAAAAAAACAACUUGGUGGGGUGCCUGGGUGGCUUAGUCGGUUAAG